UCACGGUUUACACCGGCAGUUUCGCUAGAGUCCCCGGCAUUACCCGCUGGCAACUAACGAUAAGGGUUGCGCUCGUUAUGGGACUUAACCCGACACCUCACGGCACGAGCUGACGACAACCAUGCAGCACCUUGUAGAUCGUCCGAAGAAGGACCAGUUUCCCAGUCUGUCGCUCUACAUUUAAGCCCAGGUAAGGUUCCUCGCGUAUCAUCGAAUUAAACCACAUGUUCCUCCGCUUGUGCGGGCCCCCGUCAAUUCCUUUGAGUUUCAACCUUGCGAUCGUACUCCCCAGGUGGAUUACUUAAUGCUUUCGCUCAGCCGCUGACAGUGUAUCGCCAACAGCGAGUAAUCAUAGUUUACGGCGUGGACUAC
RNAcentral lists this unclassified non-coding RNA (372 nucleotides) under uncultured Bacteroidales bacterium. Its description in RNAcentral is "contains 16S-23S intergenic spacer region". The record is from RNAcentral. Lineage: Bacteria; Pseudomonadati; Bacteroidota; Bacteroidia; Bacteroidales.